GAUGAACGCUGGCGGCGUGCUUAACACAUGCAAGUCGAACGGUGAAGGCGGAGCUUGCUCUGCUGGAUCAGUGGCGAACGGGUGAGUAACACGUGAGCAAUCUGCCCCUGACUCUGGGAUAAGCGCUGGAAACGGCGUCUAAUACUGGAUACGAGCUGCAAAGGCAUCUUCAGCAGCUGGAAAGAACUUCGGUCAGGGAUGAGCUCGCGGCCUAUCAGCUUGUUGGUGAGGUAACGGCUCACCAAGGCGUCGACGGGUAGCCGGCCUGAGAGGGUGACCGGCCACACUGGGACUGAGACACGGCCCAGACUCCUACGGGAGGCAGCAGUGGGGAAUAUUGCACAAUGGGCGAAAGCCUGAUGCAGCAACGCCGCGUGAGGGACGACGGCCUUCGGGUUGUAAACCUCUUUUAGCAGGGAAGAAGCGAAAGUGACGGUACCUGCAGAAAAAGCGCCGGCUAACUACGUG
This 468-nucleotide ribosomal RNA is filed under the name uncultured bacterium. RNAcentral describes it as "partial 16S ribosomal RNA". It matches the Rfam family "Bacterial small subunit ribosomal RNA", at positions 28 to 507 of the family's 1533-position model. The record is from RNAcentral.